GACGAACGCUGGCGGCGUGCUUAACACAUGCAAGUCGAACGAAGUGGCGAACGGGUGAGUAACGCGUAAUCAACCUGCUCUUCAGAGGGGUACAACAGUUGGAAACGACUUCUAAUACCGCAUACUCAAGGAGGGGAUUUCGUCUGAUUAGCUAGUUGGAGGGGUAACGGCUCUCCCAGGCGAUGAUCAGUAGCCGGUCUGAGAGGGUGAACGGCCACAUUGGGACUGAGAGAAGGCCCAGACUCCUACGGGAGGCAGCAGUGGGGAAUCUGCCGCAGUGGACGAAAGUCUGACGGAGCAACUCCGCGUGAGUGAUGAGGGCCUUCGGGUUGUAAAGCUCUGUUAAUCGGGACGCGGUACCGGAAUAGGAAGCCACGGCUAACUACGUGCCAGCAGCCGCGGUAAUAC
This 408-nucleotide ribosomal RNA is filed under the name uncultured bacterium. Its description in RNAcentral is "partial 16S ribosomal RNA". It matches the Rfam family "Bacterial small subunit ribosomal RNA", at positions 28 to 526 of the family's 1533-position model. The record is from RNAcentral.